RNAcentral lists this ribosomal RNA (254 nucleotides) under uncultured bacterium. Its description in RNAcentral is "partial 16S ribosomal RNA". It matches the Rfam family "Bacterial small subunit ribosomal RNA", at positions 524 to 776 of the family's 1533-position model. The record is from RNAcentral.
UACGUAGGGCGCAAGCGUUAUCCGGAAUUAUUGGGCGUAAAGAGCUCGUAGGCGGUUUGUCGCGUCUGCCGUGAAAGUCCGGGGCUCAACUCCGGAUCUGCGGUGGGUACGGGCAGACUAGAAUGAUGUGAGGGGAGACUGGAAUUCCUGGUGUAGCGGUGAAAUGCGCAGAUAUCAGGAGGAACACCGAUGGCGAAGGCAGGUCUCUGGGCAUUAACUGACGCUGAGGAGCGAAAGCAUGGGGAGCGAACAGG